This 54-nucleotide small RNA is filed under the name Caenorhabditis elegans. Its description in RNAcentral is "Unclassified non-coding RNA F48C11.6". The record is from RNAcentral. Lineage: Eukaryota; Metazoa; Nematoda; Chromadorea; Rhabditida; Rhabditidae.
AUUCAGGUCAACUACUAACAAUCCUAAUUGUGCGACCCACUAGUUAAUUUCGGA